This 462-nucleotide ribosomal RNA is filed under the name uncultured bacterium. RNAcentral's name for it is "partial 16S ribosomal RNA". It matches the Rfam family "Bacterial small subunit ribosomal RNA", at positions 28 to 507 of the family's 1533-position model. The record is from RNAcentral.
GACGAACGCUGGCGGCGUGCUUAACACAUGCAAGUCGAGCGGUAAGGCCUUUCGGGGUACACGAGCGGCGAACGGGUGAGUAACACGUGGGUGAUCUGCCCUGCACUUCGGGAUAAGCCUGGGAAACUGGGUCUAAUACCGGAUAUGACCUCCUAUCGCAUGGUGGGUGGUGGAAAGAUUUAUCGGUGCAGGAUGGGCCCGCGGCCUAUCAGCUUGUUGGUGGGGUAAUGGCCUACCAAGGCGACGACGGGUAGCCGACCUGAGAGGGUGACCGGCCACACUGGGACUGAGACACGGCCCAGACUCCUACGGGAGGCAGCAGUGGGGAAUAUUGCACAAUGGGCGAAAGCCUGAUGCAGCGACGCCGCGUGAGGGAUGACGGCCUUCGGGUUGUAAACCUCUUUCAGCAGGGACGAAGCGCAAGUGACGAUACCUGCAGAAGAAGCACCGGCUAACUACGUG